CCUACGGGAGACAGCAGUGAGGAAUAUUGGUCAAUGGACGAGAGUCUGAACCAGCCAAGUAGCGUGAAGGAUGACUGCCCUAUGGGUUGUAAACUUCUUUUAUAUGGGAAUAAAACGUUCCACGUGUGGGAUUUUGUAUGUACCAUAUGAAUAAGGAUCGGCUAACUCCGUGCCAGCAGCCGCGGUAAUACGGAGGAUCCGAGCGUUAUCCGGAUUUAUUGGGUUUAAAGGGAGCGUAGGUGGAUUGUUAAGUCAGUUGUGAAAGUUUGUGGCUCAACCGUAAAAUUGCAGUUGAAACUGGCAGUCUUGAGUACAGUAGAGGUGGGCGGAAUUCGUGGUGUAGCGGUGAAAUGCUUAGAUAUCACGAAGAACUCCGAUUGCGAAGGCAGUUCACUGGACUGCAACUGACACUGAGGCUCGAAAGUGUGGGUAUCAAACAGGAUUAGAUACCCCAGUAGUC
This 460-nucleotide ribosomal RNA is filed under the name uncultured bacterium. RNAcentral's name for it is "partial 16S ribosomal RNA". It matches the Rfam family "Bacterial small subunit ribosomal RNA", at positions 338 to 795 of the family's 1533-position model. The record is from RNAcentral.